This 191-nucleotide small nuclear RNA is filed under the name Equus asinus (donkey). Its description in RNAcentral is "U2 spliceosomal RNA (ENSEASG00005023256.2, ENSEASG00020003426.1)". It matches the Rfam family "U2 spliceosomal RNA". Rfam says of the family: U2 is a small nuclear RNA (snRNA) component of the spliceosome (involved in pre-mRNA splicing). Complementary binding between U2 snRNA (in an area lying towards the 5' end but 3' to hairpin I) and the branchpoint sequence (BPS) of the intron results the bulging out of an unpaired adenosine, on the BPS, which initiates a nucleophilic attack at the intronic 5' splice site, thus starting the first of two transesterification reactions that mediate splicing. The record is from Rfam by way of RNAcentral. Lineage: Eukaryota; Metazoa; Chordata; Mammalia; Perissodactyla; Equidae.
AUCCCUUCCCUGCCUAUUGGCAAAAAUCAAAUGCAGUAUCUGUGCUUAUCAGUUGAAGCAUCUGAGUGUUCUCUGUCUGUGUACUGAGCAUUAAAUGAAUGUUUGGAAUUAGGAGGUAGAUUGGGAGCUUGUCCUGUCCACUCCAUGCCUCAGCCUGGAACUGUAUUACUUCCAGGAAUGGUGCGUUCCUU